GUGGGGAAUAUUGGGCAAUGGGCGAAAGCCUGACCCAGCAACGCCGCGUGAGGGAAGAAGGCCUUCGGGUUGUAAACCUCUGUCCUUGGUGACGAAGAAAGUGACGGUAGCCAAGGAGGAAGCCCCGGCUAACUACGUGCCAGCAGCCGCGGUAAUACGUAGGGGGCGAGCGUUGUCCGGAAUUACUGGGCGUAAAGGGUGCGUAGGUGGCCUUUUAAGUUGGAUGUGAAAUACCCGGGCUUAACUUGGGGGGUGCAUCUAAUACUGGGAGGCUAGAGUGCAGGAGAGGGAAGCGGAAUUCCUAGUGUAGCGGUGAAAUGCGUAGAUAUUAGGAGGAACACCAGUGGCGAAGGCGGCUUUCUGGACUGUAACUGACACUGAGGCACGAAAGCGUGGGGAGCAAACAGGAUUAGAAACCCGAGUAGUCC
RNAcentral lists this ribosomal RNA (428 nucleotides) under uncultured bacterium. RNAcentral's name for it is "partial 16S ribosomal RNA". It matches the Rfam family "Bacterial small subunit ribosomal RNA", at positions 354 to 796 of the family's 1533-position model. The record is from RNAcentral.